Molecule: unclassified non-coding RNA, 203 nt
Filed under: Hevea brasiliensis (rubber tree)
Lineage: Eukaryota; Viridiplantae; Streptophyta; Magnoliopsida; Malpighiales; Euphorbiaceae
Source: RNAcentral
AAGGUCUAGAUCUCAAAUGCAGAAGUGUAAUAUUUCCAGUAGUGUAAUUGCGAAUGCCAUUCCUAGCUGACGAUAAUGUUAAAGACUUGUGUUUCCUUGUAAAGGCAGGCCAACAGGCUGAGUUCUUUGACAUUCUCAAAACCUUGACAGAACAUAUUCUAUCUAGGUUAGGAAUUGCAUGGAGAUGGGAAGGAAGAUCAAUU